GGCUCUGUUUGGAAAAGUGCUGAGCAACUCAGAUUCAAAGAGGUCGCCAGAAAACUAGGUGAUGCUCUUGGAAUCGAGCACAAAGUCGGGAUGAGGCAAUGGUUAAGGCAGUGACUCUCAGAUUUACCAUUAAUAAGCUGCGGGCAAGGAACUCUAGACCCAGGAGGAACUCAGACAACAGGAGACAAAACUGCCUGAACAGCAGCACUGCAGUGACUUUUGGCAACAGCAUUCUGCUACAUACUCUUGCUCUGGAGCCACAUCCAAGAGAGAUUGCUGGGUUCAAUGAAGAUUAGGAGGAGUGGAACGCAAUGCAGGCUGUGUGCUGGAAAGUUCUGGAAGGAGGUCCCUGAAGGAUGGCUCAGUGCGACAAUGUAGACUUCCAAAUAGAUUUAAAGAUUACCUCAGUCAAUGGACGUGUUCUUAGCUGCUUUGUAUCCAACAGUCCGAAGUCCAGUCUGAAAUGCAGCCCCUUUUCUCUACCUGCUAGGGUGCAGCACUGCCAGCUCUGGGAUCAUGUUUUCAUCACGUCCAUGAAAACAACAUCACACAGAGGGGAUAUGCUGAGUAACAACAACCCAUUUCUGUCCUCAUAACAAGGAAUACGUCUGCAUCAAACUAGUAACCAGCAAUGUAAAUUGUCUCAUCAGUUCCUUUUCCACUUGGUCCAAGGAAAAUUCAGAUAGAAGCACUUAAGACAAUUGCUUUGUGCAGAUAACAAAAAAGAACUUUCAUUACUCCUGGAUCAAGGAGGAUGGAUGGAAGAAAUGAAUGUAGGAGAUUUUCCUUCUUUGGAAGUUUUGUUCCUCUCUCUGAAACACAAGUCAUAUCCUGAUAAGGAAGACAAGCUUUACUGCUGCUUUAUGAAGGACUCAUUCCCACACGUACAGAGCAUCUCCUCUCCUGUGAUGGAUGAAGAAAUGUAUCAGAUAUGCCUGAUUUGAAAUCUCAUCAUGACUCUGGCAGUCACUACAAGAGUGUUACUUCUGGUGUUCAUCGCCUUACGGAGUGGAGUUAACAGAUAGCAACAAGAUAAAAAGAAAUGUUGGCCCUUUAAAAAAUGAGGGAAUUUUGCUACUGAUUCGACUGGAGUCAGGGUUUCAGCUUGUGUAUUUAACCUACUGAAUGCCCUAAACUGCACUGCAGAGCAGGUGCUUUCCUGUCUCUCGAGUGGCUAAUGUCCUCAGAUUUUACAGAUCCCUGCAGGACUUUAAUUCCUGAUCCCUGCUUGUCACAUGUUCUAUAAGCUACUCUCCUUGAAAACUGCUUUGAAAAUAGGUGUUCUCUGCACACAGGUGUUGGAUUGAUGCAUAGCCUGAGCUGGUCAUCUGGUCCUGUUGUGGUAGGGGCUGUUUAUUCAUUACUGAUUAAAUCAAGCAUCAGGCUUGACAGCAAAGUCUACUUAUAAUUUGAGCCUCCAGAAAAAGAAACUGGAAUUUAAUUGUAUUACAAGUUUGCCUUAGAAUCAUUUCAUUCAGAUUCAUGACCCUGCACUCAUGUAUAAGAUAUUCAAAAGAUUAAUCUUAUUUUAAAUGACAGGUGAAAGUCUUCGAAUCAGGCAUAUGGUACGUAUCUAUCUGUGCAGCAAGUCUCCAAAUGGAUUAUUCCUAGAUAAUUAACAGAUUUCAAAGUACUGACUCAGUGAUAAUAAUUCAUUCCAGAGUUCAGAUACAUACUUGAUUGACUUUAAUUUAAAUAUGUUAAAUUAAUAAUAAUAAUAAUAAAUUAUGUAAUUCAGGCAUUGUAAGAGCUUAAAAGCAAAUGUCAGUUUGUGCUGCACCUCCCAGCAGAUUAGUUUUCUAAUAUAUCUGUUUUCUAAUGAAACUGCAGUGGUGAAGCUGUAAUUUGGGUUUUGUGCCAAAUGUUCUUACUCCUAUUUACAUCAAAAGCUUCAGCUGAAACUGACACGUAUUAGAAAUUUUCAAAACACAUGCCAGAUUUAUACAGCACACAGAGAGAACGAGACAUUUUUAAUUCAAGAUGGUGAUUUCCGCUCAUCAGAAGUCCAUCUCAGUCAUUUCAUCCCAAUGAGCUUCUUUUAAUAAAUACCAAUAACUGUACAAAUUGUUUAAUACACAUCUUGCCAUCUUGUGCCGUGUAUUUUAUUCAACAGAAAAGCAAGAUGUGGUACUGGAGCACAUCCUUCUAGUGGCAGUAAUGUGGAGGUCUGCUCUGUGCCACUGACUGAUGCUGAACAUGGUGCGGAUGCAGACCGCAGGCAGUACUCCUGGAGGUGUUCAUAGAAUCAUAGAAUGGCCUGGGUUGAAAAGGACCACAAUGACCAUCUAGCUUCAACACUGCUCCUCUAACAUUUCUCCCUUUGAAUGCCAGGAUACACCUUUGAAUGAAACAGCAAGCUUCUCUGUUACUGCUGCCCUACUUUAUUCCUUACCAUUCCUUUUACCCUACACCCACUCCUACUUGCUAGUUCAGAGCAGUCUUUGAGUGCACGUGCCCUCUGUUUGUAGCAGGCCCUUUUUGGCAAAUUGGAUGACUUGUUGGUAAGUGCCCUAUAUGGCUUUUUGGAAAGAAUUUUAAUUGUUGACAAGGGUAAAGGGCUGAUUGAUAUCUGAGGUAGAGAAAGCCUCCACAAUUUAUCUUAAAAAAAAAAAAAAAGCCUCAGGGCUAGAUUUUUUGAUAAAGGGAAAGAAAUGUUACAAAAAAUUAUGAUACCCACAUUUAUGCAUUUAGACAAUCUUGAGUCUGAAUAGUCAAAAAUUCACAGAGGAAAAGAAAUUCAAAAAAUUGUUUUCAUUAAUAACAGGAACUUCACAGAAUCACAGAAUGGCCAGGGUUGGAUGGAACCUCAAGGAUCAUGAAUCUCCAAACCCAAUGCCACAUUCAAUGAUUUUUCUGUAUGAUUCUAACUCCAGAAACUCAGCUCCCUGUAUGGCCCUAAAUAUUUCAGGAAUGGUCAGAAACAAAUCAAUUAAAAUAGGAAUUUUCUGUCAUGAGAAAAUGGGUAUUUUCCUCAGAAUUCUGAAUGAAUGGGGCUGUUCCUGACCUUAUCGAUGCUAUGGUGAGUGUAAAGAAACUAUAGUGAAGACACUGAGUUACAUUUACAUUCAUUCAAAAUCAGAGGGAGGUCAGAAUCAGUAAUAAUAUAUAUCUUUAUUUUAGAAAAGAUUGCCAAUAUACAGUUACAACGUUCUAUCAGAACUUAACCUUGAUCUCGUAUCUCUAGUGAUUAGUCCAAUAGUUCACUUAUCACAAAGAAAGUUAUUUAAUAUUAUGUUCACUAAAAAUAGGUCUGAGGUCUCAUGACCUUAGAUUUAACUGCUCCUCAGGUGGUGAAAUGACAGACUUCUCUGCCAUUAUGUCACGAUUGAGCCAUUACUCUCCAUAAGUAAACUUAUACGUAUAAAUACGUGUAGCUAGCUCCAAAAGUAAUGCCUCCUAUUUAUUUCCACGGAAACUCAAAUAGAUGAAAAGAGCACAACAUUAUUUGAUAGAGCAAAUUCUCAACUGCAAACCACUGUUUUUCAACACAGUCAUCAGCAUUAGCCGAUUCAUAUGGAUGAGCUGAUGAAGAUUCUCUUCAUUUUGUGGUGUGACAGCUGUGCAUGGCCAUCCAGAAUGUCUUUCUCAUUGCUGUCACCACUCCUGAAACGCAACAACUACCACCUCACUGUGCUCACGUUCACUGUUUGGUCUCCACAAAUGUUCAGCAAGUAUCAAUGCAUGUCAAUGGGUGCCAUAUUUUUUUUUCCACAUGGAGGAAUUCAGUGACACACCUUUGCUAAAUACACAUUUCCAUGUCAGACAUCAUUGUGUCUGAGUGCCCCUCUGCUGUCAUCUGUCACACGGCAACAGCGUGUAAUGGAAUAUUGGCAGAAAGGUUCAGCCUCUACUGCCAUCCCACCAACGUCCACCUCUGACAUUAUGGGUCAACGUCAUAUUACAGGAGACAGUACUUUUGGAGCUGCCCUUGUAUAUUUAUACACAUAUUUUAAGGUGCUCAGUACCUUUAAAGGUAUCACUGCUGUCACAUACCUGUGUUUUCCUGUCUUUUUGCCCUACCUGCAUA
Molecule: long non-coding RNA, 4027 nt
Organism: Tympanuchus pallidicinctus (lesser prairie-chicken)
Lineage: Eukaryota; Metazoa; Chordata; Aves; Galliformes; Phasianidae
Exons: 3
Source: RefSeq, a predicted model, not a curated record